CCUACGGGUGGCAGCAGUGGGGGAUAUUGCACAAUGGGGGGAACCCUGAUGCAGCGACGCCGCGUGGGUGAAUGAGUGCUUCGGCAUGUAAAGCCCUAUCGGCAUGGGAGAAGCAAGACGGUACCUGACUAAGAAGCCCCGGCUAACUACGUGCCAGCAGCCGCGGUAAGACGUAGGGGGCGAGCGUUAGCCGGAUUCACUGGGCGUAAAGGGAGGGUAGACGGCCAUGCAAGCCAGGGGUGAAAGCCCGGGGCCCAACCCCGGGACUGCCCUUGGAACUGUGCGGCUAGAGUGCGGGAGGGGCAGGCGGAAUUCCUGGUGUAGCAGUGAAAUGCGUAGAUAUCAGGAGGAACACCGGCGGCGAAGGCGGCCUGCUGGACUGCGACUGACGUUGAGGCUCGAAAGCGUGGGGAGCGAACAGGAUUAGAUACCCUAGUAGUC
RNAcentral lists this ribosomal RNA (441 nucleotides) under uncultured bacterium. Its description in RNAcentral is "partial 16S ribosomal RNA". It matches the Rfam family "Bacterial small subunit ribosomal RNA", at positions 338 to 795 of the family's 1533-position model. The record is from RNAcentral.